Molecule: long non-coding RNA, 1271 nt
Organism: Talpa occidentalis (Iberian mole)
Lineage: Eukaryota; Metazoa; Chordata; Mammalia; Eulipotyphla; Talpidae
Exons: 6
Source: RefSeq, a predicted model, not a curated record
GCAGCAGGGUAAGAGAACACCACUGGUGCUGCUGCUGGCUUCCACUGCUGAGGUGGAUCCUACCAAUGAGUGUCUUAUAGUUCUCAGCAUGGAGGUCCUACGCCAACUUUAUUAAGUUGCACUGCUGAGGGGAGCAGCGGGCGGCAGGAGAGGUCUGUGCGCCAUGUGGGAUCCUCCUCCAGUGGCCGGGGAGCAGCCGGGGAUUGAACCGGUGCUGCAGAGGCUGCAGGCAGCUUCGCAACCCAGCGCUCAACCGCUGCACCACCGGGGAGGCCCCUGCCAGUGAGUUCAUGUGGAUGACAGCAAAGAAGAUGAAGGUGUAGGAGGUUAUGAUAAGACCCAGGGGAAUGAGGACCACCAGAAAACUUGAGACCACCACUGAUUUCACAUAGGUUGAAAUGUCAUCACAGGACACAUCCUCAUAUGACUAUGUGGUCACUUGUUGGGCUUAACUAAUAUUUAUGAAAUAGAGCCCACAUUCAACCUAACCAGCAUUUCCUAAACUUACCUGAUCAUCAGAAUCAAAGAAGAGUCCUGUAAAAAUGAAGAGUUUUGAACCACAACCUAAAUCUGCUGGCAUGGGACCUGGGAUAUUAACCAAGCCUCAGUUAAGUCUUAAGAUCUUAUGAUUAAAAAAUCUUCAGGGAACCACAGUGCUUCAAUGUCAUACAAUACAUACGUGGUUGCAAAUAAUAUAUCUGCAUAUUUAAUCCCAUUUCCUGAAUUGAAUCUUUCCAUUUUCUCAGUGCUUUCUUUUAGGCAUUUAUCUAUUUUCUUGAGAAUGCCAGGUCAAAAAGUCAGAUUUGGAGGAAGUACAGCCCUAUUGUAUUGUCUUGGAAUGAACAAUGGACAUGUUCUGGAAACUUUUGAUUAACUUGUUUAUGAAAUGCUAUUUGUGAAGGUGUCCUGAGACCCUCAUGAGACAUCUCCAUCUACUGUGUCCUCUCCUUCAGGGACCCAGAAGAAUGGAGAAUGAAUGGAAAUUCCAUACACUGUUUUGGCUGGGUCCAGUUCUUACCUCCUUAGCUUUGCCUGUGCUCAACUUCAAAGCAAUCCUGAUAACUCUGAUACACAGGAGGUAUCAAUAAACAUCACUACAUGGCAUUCCUUGAUGUCCAAAACAACUUGCUGACAGGGGGCAUGCCUGUCUUUCUUCUCUCCUCAUGUUGGCAGGGACAGAAAGAAAAAUCAAAUCAAGCCUAUCUCACCCAUAGUGACUUAGGAUUCAGCAUGACUUGCCAAACACUUUGUGUAAGAAAAGAACUAUUGCA